GGAAGGAUGUAUAGCAUUGCUAGUUGCACUAAAAGUUUUAGUGUAAAAUCAAUUUAGUUGAAUAAAAUUCUGGGUGGAAUUAUGAUAAUGACAUAAUCUGUUCAUAAGUCUUGACCAAAUUACGUGCCAGCAGUCGCGGUAAUACGUAGAAGACAAGUGUUAUUCAUCUUUAAUAGGUUUAAAGGGUACUUAGACGGUAAAUCAAGCCUUAAUAUGGGACUAAUUUGCUAGAGUUUUAUGUGAAAAAGUAUUAAAGUACUGCUGGUGUAGAGAUGAAAUUCUGUCAUACCUUGAAUGGCACAGGUUAAGGCGAAAGCAUCUUUUUAUGUAAAAACUGACGUUGAAGGACGAAGGCUUUGUGUCUCGAACAGGAUUAGAUACCCUAGUAGUCUAAGCAGACAAUGAUGAAUGUCAUAGAUUAGAUACAAUUUGAUCUAUAAAUGAAAAUGUAAGCAUUCCACCUCAAGAGUAAUUUGGCAACAUUGGAACUGAAAUCAUUAGACCGUUUCUGAAAACAGUAGUGAAGUAUGUUGUUUAAUUUGAUAAUCCGCAAAAAACCUUACCACUUUAAUAUGAAUAGAUAUAUUUUAUCAUACAAGCGUUGCACGGCUGUCUUCAGUUAAUGUCGUGAGACUUUGGUUAGUUCCAUAAAAUUAACGUAAACCCUUACUUUAUUUACUUAUAAAGUAGAUCACCGCUAUAUAGGACGUGAUAACAGGAUCAAGACAAGUC
Molecule: ribosomal RNA, 732 nt
Filed under: Caloplaca stillicidiorum
Lineage: Eukaryota; Fungi; Ascomycota; Lecanoromycetes; Teloschistales; Teloschistaceae
Description: mitochondrial SSU rRNA
Rfam family: Bacterial small subunit ribosomal RNA
Source: RNAcentral